RNAcentral lists this ribosomal RNA (177 nucleotides) under uncultured bacterium. Its description in RNAcentral is "partial 16S ribosomal RNA". It matches the Rfam family "Bacterial small subunit ribosomal RNA", at positions 355 to 524 of the family's 1533-position model. The record is from RNAcentral.
UGGGGAAUUUUGGACAAUGGGCGAAAGCCUGAUCCAGCCAUGCCGCGUGCAGGAUGAAGGCCUUCGGGUUGUAAACUGCUUUUGUACGGAACGAAAAGGUGCCUUCUAAUAAAGGGCGGUCAUGACGGUACCGUAAGAAUAAGCACCGGCUAACUACGUGCCAGCAGCCGCGGUAAU